CCCACCCCUGGUUCUAUAAGACAGACUUGGGGCCACCCAGACCCAGCUGUGGGGCCUGAGGAAGCAGAGUUCUGGGGGUGUCUCCACCAUGGCCCGGAUUCCUCUCCUCCUGACCUUCCUCACUGUCUGCACAGGUUCUCUGGCCUCCUAUGUGCUGACCCAGGCUCCCUCCAUGUCUGUGACCCUGGGUCAGACAGCCACCCUCACCUGUGCAGGGAAUCAGCUGGAUGAGAAGUACGCCAAUUGGUUCCAGCAGAAAUGGGGCCAGACUCCUGUGUUACUCAUUUACAAUGAUAAGGAGAGACCAGAGGGGGUCUCUCACCGAUUCUCUGGCUCCAGCAGCAAUAAAGUGGCCACUUUAACCAUCUCUGGGGUCCAGGCUGAGGAUGAGGCUGAUUAUUACUGUCUGUCCUUUGAUGAUAAUACCAAAGCUCACAGUGAUUGAGAGAGAUGAGGAAGU
Molecule: non-coding RNA, 460 nt
Organism: Vombatus ursinus (common wombat)
Lineage: Eukaryota; Metazoa; Chordata; Mammalia; Diprotodontia; Vombatidae
Source: the annotation of a RefSeq genome assembly